Molecule: transfer RNA, 71 nt
Filed under: Onryza maga
Lineage: Eukaryota; Metazoa; Arthropoda; Insecta; Lepidoptera; Hesperiidae
Description: tRNA-Lys
Source: RNAcentral
CAUUAGAUGGCUGAAAGUAAGUAAUGGUCUCUUAAACCAUUUUAUAGUAAGAUAACAUUUACUUCUAAUGG